CGGACGGUGUACGGCCAGGCGCCGCCGUCCUGCCGGACCGCCUCGUCGCCGAGGUGGUCGCCGUCGGCGAGGGUGCCGACGACCGUCUCCUCGCCGUACUUGCCGGUGCCCAGCCGGUCGAGCUUGCCGUGCGCGAUCAGGAACACCUCGGUGAUCGGGGCGCCGGCCUGGACCAGCACGUCGCCCGGGGCGAACUCCCGCUGCACGAAGCGCGAGGCCAGCUCCUCCAGCACGGCCUCGUCCUGGAACCCGCGCAGCACCGGCACCUCGGCCAGCGUGGGCGCGACGAUCCGCACCUCGGCACCGGUCUUGACGAAACCCACCCGGCCGCGGCCGACCGAGUGGCGCAGGCGGCGGUUCACCCGGUAGGUGCCGCCGGACACCUGCACCCAGGGCAGCUUCCUGAGCAGCCAGCGCGGGCUGAUGCCCUGCAUCUGGGGCGCGGACUUGGUGGUCGUCGCGAGGUUCCGCGCGCCGGCCGUGCUCAGACUCUGCUGCUGCCGGAUCUC
RNAcentral lists this antisense RNA (509 nucleotides) under Streptomyces sp. CB02056. RNAcentral describes it as "Saccharopolyspora sRNA 350". It matches the Rfam family "Saccharopolyspora sRNA 350". The record is from Rfam by way of RNAcentral. Lineage: Bacteria; Bacillati; Actinomycetota; Actinomycetes; Kitasatosporales; Streptomycetaceae.